Long non-coding RNA from Alligator sinensis (Chinese alligator), 1667 nucleotides. RefSeq lists it as uncharacterized. The transcript is spliced from 3 exons. NCBI's taxonomy places the organism in Eukaryota, Metazoa, Chordata, Crocodylia, Alligatoridae. The record is from RefSeq and is a predicted model, not a curated record.
CAGCCCCUAUUCAGCAGUUCCUGCUCCCUGUGGAUUGGAAGACAUCAGGGAGCUGCUGAUAAAACUGGAUGUCCCGUGGGGGGAAGCAAGAGAGAUGGAUGCUCAGUCACCAGAGCACAGUGGUAGCAGAGAGCAGGGAUCCAGCCAGAGAGCCAGUGACAGAGGAGUCUCCACAAGGGUGCUCAGAGGAGCACCUGGUACAAGGUAUUCAAACCCCAGGAGCAGAAGACAGGAGGUGUUAUCAUUAGAAACCCCAGCAAGGGUGAGCUUGGAGAGCAAGGAGUUCUUGCUCUUCAGUAACCCCUGAGACACCUGAGAAAAGCUGCAGGAGGACACCACACCAGUACACAGAGCAACAACCAGGGGUUGCAGUUUGCUGUUGCAGAGUGGUCAAAUAGACUAAGUAAGGUACCUGAAUGAAUUGGUAAGGAGUGAAUUUGAUUUAAUGUGAUUGUGGGGACAUGACUACUAGGAAUAAGGAAUUAAAUGAACUGAUUGGAGGCAAAACAGAUAUUUGUGAGAAUUAAUUUUAUUUAUCACAAUGAAUUAAGUUCAUUUAAUUGAUUCAAGAUUCGAAUGCCUGGUUGGCCCCAAAGGAGGUCCCACCAAGAUUAAUUUAAGUUUGACACAUUUAAAACUGAUUAAAUUGAUAAACUGACACAUUGGAUGAUUUAAGCCAUAAUCUAUGUUAAGGAACGGUGUCCUAAGAGUAUGCCACUAGCUGAAGACGAGACUGAGAGAUGGUCACUGCAUAUGCUUGGAGACAAAGAUCCGACAGUAUCCAAACAACUGGCUGGCAUGUGAAAAGGGAGGCAGAGCCCCGUAGUCAAGGCACCCGCAGAACCCAUGCACAGACUCUCUAAUAACAAGAUACCUCCUUCGUACUGAGCAAGAACAAGACAUGGCAGUGUCAACUACAGCUUCCAGAAGCCUGCAGGGCACUGGAGAAAGAAACUAUAGUAUGAACUACAACCCCCAGAAGCUUCCAGGGGACUGGAGGAAUGAGCUGCAACAUGCAUUACAGUUCCCAGAAGGCUGCAGGUGAUGAAGGAAGGGGAAAAGCAGCAACAGAGCAUAGGACACUGGCUGGGAGAGAGACCUGGCUGAAGACUUGGGGAGGAGCAGCAGAGCCAAGACUGCUGCAGCAAGGUAGUACGCAUGAAUUAUUGCCAUAUUCCUGUCUUUUGCCAGUCAUCCCAGGACAGAUCUUCACUGUACAACUUCAGGAACUGAUUAAGCAAAGCAGAUAAACGUGAAUUGUUAAAGAAGGAAGUACUGCAUUUAACAGGAUUUCUCAUGACUAAAAUUAAACAUGUGCUUAAGUACCAUGCUUUUGCACAUAUAAACACAACCCAGAAUAAAAUAUGCACCCUGUUUCUGAAAGGCAGAAUGAAAAAAAAAAAAUAAAAAAAUCUUUCUUUGUAGUAAGUAACUGAGUAGCAGCAUCUAAAGGGCUAAGACUGCUCUUGGUUCUGUUCCCUGUGGGCACCUAUACUUGUGCCAGAUGCCUGAUCUGACGUGUGCUAUUUAGCAUGCAUCACACCAGACUCAAUUUAUCAAGUGCUAAUUAGCACUCAAUAAAUCUACAGUCUGAAUCUACACUCCAAAUCUACACUACAGUGCUAAUUAACGCACUCCAGCAGCCUCGGCAUCACAUGUAUUCAGCA